RNAcentral lists this ribosomal RNA (322 nucleotides) under uncultured eukaryote. Its description in RNAcentral is "partial 18S ribosomal RNA". It matches the Rfam family "Eukaryotic small subunit ribosomal RNA", at positions 1470 to 1796 of the family's 1831-position model. The record is from RNAcentral.
CCCUUAGAUGUUCUGGGCCGCACGCGCGCUACACUGAUUCAUUCAUCAAGUCUAUAACCUUGGUAGAAAUGCUUGGGUAAUCUUUGAAACUGAAUCGUGCUGGGGAUUGGAGCUUGUAAUUAUUCUCCAUGAACGAGGAAUUCCUAGUAAACGCGAGUCAUCAGCUCGCAUUGAUUACGUCCCUGCCCUUUGUACACACCGCCCGUCGCACCUACCGAUUGAAUGGUCCGGUGAAAUCUUCGGACCGGGCGAUGGUCAGCAAUGGCCGCUGCCUGGAAAGUCGCUUAGACCUUACCAUUUAGAGGAAGGUGAAGUCGUAACA